RNAcentral lists this long non-coding RNA (484 nucleotides) under Solanum tuberosum (potato). Its description in RNAcentral is "long non-coding RNA (STUB_LNC002664)". The record is from RNAcentral. Lineage: Eukaryota; Viridiplantae; Streptophyta; Magnoliopsida; Solanales; Solanaceae.
UUUUUAAACGGUUUUGCAAAUUUUUUUAUUGGGUUAUUGGUUCGGUUUCCGGUUUUAUAAUUUUUGUUAAUGGUUAAACCGAUAACCCAAUAAGACUAUACUAAAUUUACUAGUCUUAUUGUUAAUGGUUAAACGAUUGUUACUUUCACACUUUUUGUUAAUGGUUAAACGAUUGUUACUUUCACAUUUUUUCCUUUGAAUGUGUCUAGUGUCUAAACUUGCAAGAAAAAUGAUUGUUACUUUUAUGAUUAUUACUUUCAUGCCAAAUGCUGGAAAGAUCAUAUGGUUUAUUUGAAAAUUUUCUUAUCGUGUAUAUAAUAUAUAUGAGUAUUUUCUUAUUGGUUAAACCGAAAACCGAACCGUUAAGUACCAUAAACCGAUUAACCAAAAACCGAUAAGAAAUAUGUUAUUGGUUUGGUUAUCGGUUUGAUGUAUUUACAAACCGAAAACCGAUAAACCGAACCAAUAACACCUAAAACCGAAC